RNA transcript from Eriocheir sinensis (Chinese mitten crab), 1219 nucleotides. RefSeq lists it as uncharacterized. Lineage: Eukaryota; Metazoa; Arthropoda; Malacostraca; Decapoda; Varunidae. The transcript has 5 exons. The record is from RefSeq and is a predicted model, not a curated record.
ACCUGCCAGGCCGCUCACAGUGAUAGAGCCCUCAAGUAGACUAAGAAGCUGUGUUGCCGAGGACCACGUCUGGCUCCAGCAGCUCAGAUGAGGAGGCGUCACGGUUCGGGGAGGCGUGUGACCCCACCCUGUGGAGGACGGCCACGCAGGGAGCCGCCAAGAAUGAAAUCUGCAGAGCGGAGGCAUCUGAUGAGAAGCCCCAGCCAAGGCGACCAGAGGCAGGCCUUCAUGCUGCUGGAGAAGAUGCACACAACCCUUGCCGGGGCGCAGGGCAAGGCAGGGUGUGUGGGGCUGAGGCACAAGGAUGGCCAUGGCCCCGGCAUACAGAGCAGGCCAUCGUCAGGCAGGGCAGAGGCCAGCACAGCGAGGGUGGCCAUGGCUGCCCCAUCCACACUCUCCCUUCCUGGCCAAGCAGCUCACCUCAAGACUGGACGGGAGUGUGGAGUACCAGGGUGACCAGGAGCACAGACUGACCAAGGAUGGCAGUGGUGAGGGUGGUGGUGCUGGUGGUGCUGGCCAGCCCCUCCAUCAUCCCCUCCGCCUCCUGACUAACCUGCCGCUCGCCCCUCAAGGCAUCACUAACCCCACACACGCAGCAGCCAGAAGGAGCAGGCCGGACAGAAUUCCCAGGACUCUCCUACUUUGGCGGCUGUGAUGUGUGACCAAGUGGUGUGUUGGUGCCUACCUCUGGCUGGCCGGCUGUUGUGACAGAAUUAUGAAGAGCAAGCAGACAGCUCUGAAAGAACGGGGACUUCUUCUUCUUCCACAAACAACUGCCGAUGAGAGAGUGAAGCGAUGAAUAACAGGGCACUGAAUAACAGGUAGCCACGCCCUGUAGAUUUUGUGUGACAUUUAUAAGAAGAACAUAAGAGCAUAAGAACAUAGGGAGACUGCAAGAGGCUGAAUGGCCUACACAGGGCUGCUCCAGAUUCCUCCCACUGCCACCUGUCAUCCUCGUCCAUGUAGCUAUCAAGUCUACUCAUAAAACAAGCUGUCAUCCCUGCACUCACUAGUAUGUGAUUGCUGAGUCUAUUCCAUUCCCCCAUCACCCUAUUACUAAACCAAGGCCUGCCUAUUUCCCUCCUAAUUCUAUACUUUUCUAAUUUAAAUCCAUUACUGUGUGUUCUAUCCUGGUGGCAGUGUGGGUUGCCUGCUGCCAGCACGUCAUCUGGGAGACACACUCGGGCGACAGUGAGAGGCUGAAGGCGCAGUGCAGGGC